GACGGCCUACGGGAGGCAGCAGUGGGGAAUAUUGCACAAUGGGGGGAACCCUGAUGCAGCGACGCCGCGUGGGUGAAGGAGCACCUCGGUGCGUAAAGCCCUAUCGGCAGGGAAGAAAAGCGAACAGGUUCGCCUGGACGGUACCUGACUAAGAAGCCCCGGCUAACUACGUGCCAGCAGCCGCGGUAAUACGUAGGGGGCAAGCGUUAUCCGGAUCCACUGGGGGUAAAGGGAGCGUAGACGGCGGCGCAAGUCUGGAGUGAAAGCCCGGGGCCCAACCCCGGGACUGCUCUGGAAACUGCGGC
RNAcentral lists this ribosomal RNA (305 nucleotides) under uncultured bacterium. Its description in RNAcentral is "bacterial SSU rRNA". It matches the Rfam family "Bacterial small subunit ribosomal RNA", at positions 334 to 639 of the family's 1533-position model. The record is from RNAcentral.